CGUAGGGUGCGAGCGUUAAUCGGAAUUACUGGGCGUAAAGCGUGCGCAGGCGGUUUUGUAAGCCAGAUGUGAAAGCCCCGGGCUCAACCUGGGAAUGGCAUUUGGGGCUGCAAGGCUUGAGUGCGGCAGAGGAGACUGGAAUUCCUGGUGUAGCAGUGAAAUGCGUAGAUAUCAGGAGGAAUACCGAUGGCGAAGGCAGGUCUCUGGGCUGACACUGACGCUCAUGCACGAAAGCGUGGGGAGCAAACAGGAUUAGAUACCUGGUAGUCCACGCCCUAAACGAUGUCGACUGGUUGUUGGGGGUUUGGACACUCUCAGUAACGAAGCUAACGCGUGAAGUCGACCGCCUGGGAGUACGGCCGCAAGGUUA
RNAcentral lists this ribosomal RNA (370 nucleotides) under uncultured organism. Its description in RNAcentral is "bacterial SSU rRNA". It matches the Rfam family "Bacterial small subunit ribosomal RNA", at positions 526 to 896 of the family's 1533-position model. The record is from RNAcentral.